This 408-nucleotide ribosomal RNA is filed under the name Chiasmocleis avilapiresae group sp. ABGD cluster 28. RNAcentral's name for it is "partial large subunit ribosomal RNA". Lineage: Eukaryota; Metazoa; Chordata; Amphibia; Anura; Microhylidae. The record is from RNAcentral.
CCUGAAAGAUUAUAGGAGGUCCAGCCUGCCCAGUGAUAAAAUUAAACGGCCGCGGUACCCUAACCGUGCGAAGGUAGCGCAAUCACUUGUUCUUUAAAUGAGGACUAGUAUGAACGGCAUCACGAGGAUUAUACUGUCUCCCCCCUUWAAUCAGUGAAACUGAUCCCCCCGUGAAGAAGCGGGAAUAAACAUAUAAGACGAGAAGACCCUAUGGAGCUUUAAACUCAACACCACUUAUCUAAAACACUCCAUAAUAAACAGAUAAGCUUGUGAACGUUUUAGGUUGGGGUGACCACGGAGUAAAAUUUAACCUCCACGUUGAAAGGCCUUAUCCUUAUCCAAGAGCCACAUCUCCAAGAAUCAACAAAUUGACAUUUAUUGACCCAAAUACUUUUUUGACCAACGAAC